CCUGAGAAACUCAAAAGAUCGAAUGAGGAGAUUCAUCGUUAACACAUUUUUAUAUAUAUGAAUUAUGAUAUGGGUUACUCUUUGAGUAUUGCUUGUACAUAUUUGUAUAUUUGAAGAUGUUGUCGGCGUGCACUUCUCCUCUAGUAGAACAUCGCGACCCGUUGAAAGUUGGUUUGUGGCCUAAUUGGUAGUCUUUAUUGUCAUUGACUUUGAAGACCUUUUGGUGACCUAACCGGCAUUUGGCGGUACUCGUACGGUAUUUAGUCGCAUUUAUGCGUUCAUAUCUAUUGCAAGCGAGGUUAGUUUUGGUAACCGGACUUUGUGCCGUCGCUAGAACUCACCCGUUGUUGGUAAUAUGAUGUUAGAACUGACUAAAAUUAUUUAUAUACCGGUCGGCGAUGCUACUGCUUUGGGUACUUUCAGGACCCGUCUUGAAACACGGACCAAGGAGUCUAACAUGUACGCAAGUCAUUGGGAUUAUUUAAAUUAAACCUAAAGGCGUAAUGAAAGUAAAAGUCAUCCUUGCGGUGACUGAGGAAAGAUAAGUUAUGUUAAGAUAUAACUUCGCACUUCUGGGGCGUCUCAUUCUUAUUAUAAGAAGAGGCGCACCUAG
This 613-nucleotide ribosomal RNA is filed under the name Ecphylus sp. RDB-2000. Its description in RNAcentral is "eukaryotic LSU rRNA". It matches the Rfam family "Eukaryotic large subunit ribosomal RNA", at positions 386 to 798 of the family's 3401-position model. The record is from RNAcentral. Lineage: Eukaryota; Metazoa; Arthropoda; Insecta; Hymenoptera; Braconidae.